GGAGAAGAUGGCGUGAGGGUGUGCGCUGAUAGGAAAAAUUUCCCCAGACGAAAGAUUCUCAAGCAGCAGUGCAGAAAAUAUGAAACGUUUCUCGCCUUCUGUGCCUCAGGAAGAUAGCAAGACAUUUGAUACUGUGAAUCAAAAUGGUUAUAACUAUAACCAUAAUUUUUAAAGGGGUGCACCGAUAAGCCAGCGGAAGGCCUCGCUCAGAUGACCAAAAGUUCCAACGGCUGGUCAUCAUAUGACCAAGACCCACGCCAGGAAACGCUUUGUCCUGUUUCCUGACGACCCUUACCUAACCUAACCUACUGUGAGAAAAGACCGGACAACGUUUUUUUCUAAUUUGGUGAACAUAUUUAUUUUUUUCCCCGGUACUGUUAACUUGAGGUACUGUUUUAUCUUGCCUUAUUUUUUCCUUGUGGCCUUAUUAAUAUUCAGUUUUCCUCUUACAGCCUAAUGUAAUUUUCCUUUACAGCUUAAUCAGUAUUUUCCUUUUUCAGCCUAAAAAAAAAAUUCCUUUUCAGCGUAAUAAAAUUCUUUUUCAGCCUAAUAAAUAAUUUCCUUUUCAGCCUAAUAAAUAAUUUCCUUUUCAGUGUAAUAAAAAAUUCCUUUCAAGGCUAAUGAAAUUUUCCUUUUCAGCCUAAUGAAAUUUCUUUUUCAGCCUAAUGAAAUUUCCUUUUCAGCCUAAUGAAAUUUUCCUUUUCAGCCUAAUGAAUUUUUUCUUUCUAAUUAAUAUAUUCCCUUCAAUUAAAAACAUUUUAAUUUCCCUGCAGAAUAAUUUUACUUUGCAGGAUAAAAAUUAAAUUUAAAAUAUUGCUUUAUAAUUUAUAACUUUCAUUUUACAUAACCAUUUUUAAAUUUUUAUUACCUUGUUGCAUACCAUAAUUAAUCUCUUAUUUAUGUACAGCCUCCAAUAUUGAUAGUAAGAUUGUGUGUCUUAUGGCUUACAGCUUAAUGACUGUUUUUCCUUGCAGCCUGUAUGCACAAAUUUUAUUGAAAUUCUUAUAUUCAAGUAAGUUUCACUCAUAAUUUUUCACAAUGGCUCAUUUUAGUCUACUUUUUACAGUACUACUGAAUCUGAUAGUUAUAAAAUGUUCUCAGUUGAAAUUCAUAGACAAAAAAAGUUGGGGAAAUUUUAUCAUAUGAUGUAAUAUUACAAAAAUGUAAUUUGUUUAACAUUAAAUGCAUGUAUUUUAAGCUUAUUAAUUUAGUUAAGGAAGCAGCAUAUGUUACUAUAAGUUACACCACAUAAUUGGUAUGAAGUUCAACAUUCUCAUGCUUACAGUUACACAGUUACUCCAAACCAAGCUUCAUACUGACCAUGACUAUGUCAUUGUGCAAAAAUAUUUAUGGAUUUUUUAGAGGGCAAAGAGGAAAGAACUUAUGGACAUAGGUAUGUGAUCAGAAGAGUUUUAAAUGUAAGUAUUGCUGAGGAUUUAAUUGCAUUUUGUAAUAUAAAAUUUAAGGGAGAGGUAGAAUAUGGGAGCAUUAAUUAAAGACAACUUUUUGAAGCCUGUUUUGUGAUGUAUCUUAAUCACAUUCUUUGAGAAAGCAUUUAUUGUUGAUACAUCUUAAUGAGAUUCUUUGAGAAAGCAAUUAUUGUAGAUAAUUGUUCAUAAAAUGCAAUUAGAGUUGACGAACUGGCAUACUAUAAAGACUGGCUAUAUAAUGGGGAGUAAUUUAUUAGGAAUUCAGUUUUACAAUAUAUGUAGUCGAGCUUCAAAAGGAAUUAUAAAGUGGAGGGGAAAGAUGCUAUAUAUACAAGGUUGAAUAAGAAAAUAGAGGACUAGGUUAAGUUUAUCAAAGUUAAAAUAAUGAAUAAAUAAAUUGGAAGGGUUAGGUAUUUUGGAAAAGUAUAGACAGUUUAGGAUGACGAUUUUAGGUGUCAAGAAAAUGUAUUGAUGUAGACGAUAAAUAGUAAUUAUAGGAGAUAGAGGCUGAAGAGAAAAAAUGCAGCUAAUAUUUUUUUCAAGGGAAAAGGGACGAGUUUAAUAUGAAGGUGCCCAGGAAAUAUAAUACGUUCUUUGAAGUUGAAGGCAUUAGCCCUUGAAAAUGAGAAAGUUUUGAAAGUUUGACAAGAAAUUACUAUAGUGCAGUGAAGGGGUUGGAUGCAUAUAUUACUUGGGUGAAUGGGUGGUUCAUCCGGUGAGGUAGUUGGUGAACUUUACCAAGAAAAAUGACUGUAAAUUUUGUUGAGCUAGUUUGACUUGGUUCAUAUGUGCUGAGCCGAGGACAUAGGCUGUAGUUUUUGUGGAGGGAAUUAAUUGAAGUCCAAAUAAUAGUGAAAGUGAGACUUGGAGAGGGACGCAUGUCACCACGCUAGUUCGUUGGGAAGGGGAGUGGGAUUAAGAGAUUUGGAUACGAUACAAAGUGGGAGUUACCACAGUUGCUCUGUUGACAUUAUUUUUGGGGAUUUUGAAGACAAGUUUCAAAGGUUGUGGGACGAAUUUGGGAGUAUUGGUAAAAAAGAAAUUCAAAUUGAACUCAUAUAAGAGCAAGAUAAUGAAGGUGACAAAAAAUCAUGGCAAUGAUUGGUUUAAUAUUAAAUUGGAGGGGCGGGAAGUAUGGAGGAAAAUGUACGGAGAUAUUUGGAAGUGGACACGUCAGCAGAUGAGUCUAAGACGAGGUGAACCAUGGAAUAUAUAGGGGGGGGGGGGUGAAAUGAGUGGUGUUAGGGUGUCUGGAAUAGUUUAUCUUCGUAGAUCAAAAGGAAUAUACAAUAGAAUAGUGUUGCCCACAAAUUGAUAUAGGUGUGGUUUUGAACAUUACAUUGAUCAGUGUUUCAAGCCUCACUGGCAUCAAAUUUCUGCUGUUAACUUAUGGCUGUAGAUGCUUUCAUCAUGGGAAUCUAGAUUGCCUGUGGUUAGAUUCAGCCAGGAAAAAUAACUGCUUAACAUAAGUGUUGAUUUCCAGAAGUUGGACUGUACAUAGUUCUAUUGAGCAAAGUAAAAUUGCUGUUUUUCAUUGAGGGAGUUAAUGGACUUUGUCCUUAGUUCUACUUAAUCAAAAAACAAGUCUGAAUUUUUGUUGGGGAAAUUGGACUCUCCAUGUUUGUAUUCAGUCAGAAUGACUUUCUUUGUCAAGGGUGUUGGACUGUCUACACUUCUGUUUCUCAGUGAUGCUCCAGGAAAAUGAUUUUCGACAAGGAAAUUAAACUGUCUUUAUUUCCAUUCAAGGACAAUGGCUAAAGGUUUAAACCAUACCAAUCGUGUCAUUACGAUUUCGUGAGUCAUGCUAAAGGUUUUGUCAAAGAAAUUGGACUGACCACAGUUCUACUGAAGUGUCUCUGCCCACACUUGUAUUUAGUUAACAAAAAUGUAAACGACAGAGAUAGUUUGCUGCUUGUUUCAAUCAAGGAAAAUGGCUGUGGUUUCUUUUGAUGAGUUUAUAUACUUGUCCACAUUUCAGUUCAAGGUUUAGUUUCUUCAGUGAGGAAAUUUGACUCCAUCCACAUUGUAGUCCGUCAUGGACAGUGGCUGUAGUUUCAUCACUACGGAGUUUAUAUAUUCUAGUCUUGCUCAGUCAAGAAAAAUAGGAAUUGGACUGUCCACAGUUCUACUGAGUCGAGGAAAAUCAGCUUAACAGUAGAUUCUUUCACAGACAGUUUGUUUGUAGUUUUACUCUAAGAAAAGACUCUUUCAUCAAAAAGUUUUAUGGAGUUCAUCCAGUUCAGAUUUUUUCACUCCAGGAAAGAAUCUGUAGUUUCAUUUAUCAAAGAAAUUUAUAAAAGUACUGUCCAAGAAAAUGAUUAAGUUUCAGAGAAAAUGAGCUCUGUCCACAGUACUACUCGGUUGCAAGUGUUUGUAUUUUAGACUUAAACCGAGGGAGUUGGACUGUCAUUAAUAUUCAGUCAAGGAAUUGACUGCCUUUUCAUCAAGGAAUUAAUGGACUUAGUCCAGCUAUAAAAAUUCAUAUAUUUGCUUGGAUUCAAUAAGCUAAGCUUAUUUGUAUUUAGUGGAGAGUAAUAAUUUCAGGCAAUGGACUCUGGGUCACAUGGCCUUAUAGUCAACAAUCUUAGUGGAUUUUUUUCCACUUACUCUCCAUACUCUUGCUACUCCUUGCGGGUAGUCAGCAACAACUUGCUUUUGGGUGGUUUUUAGUGAGGGUCAAACUAUCACUAAAAAUACCAAAUUAUCAAGAGCUUGCUGUUGAACAA
Cherax quadricarinatus is the source of this 4156-nucleotide non-coding RNA. The record is from RefSeq and is a predicted model, not a curated record. NCBI's taxonomy places the organism in Eukaryota, Metazoa, Arthropoda, Malacostraca, Decapoda, Parastacidae.